Molecule: long non-coding RNA, 222 nt
Filed under: Setaria italica (foxtail millet)
Lineage: Eukaryota; Viridiplantae; Streptophyta; Magnoliopsida; Poales; Poaceae
Description: long non-coding RNA (SITA_LNC000622)
Source: RNAcentral
AACACCUUGCCACUGUAUUUUUUCUUGAAGUUGUACACCAAAAUGGAACAUGCAUUCUGUAUGCUUAGCUGAUGGGAACACUUGUUGCACUCUAGCCAUGCCAAUUUGCCUAGCAUCAGUAUAAAUAGCUAACCCAUGUGGUGUUCCUAUAGCUUCUCUAAGCCUUUCCAUUAACUAGAUCCAAUUGUCAUUUAUCUCAGAGUCAAACACUCAAAAAGUAAC